This 72-nucleotide transfer RNA is filed under the name Camelus bactrianus (Bactrian camel). It matches the Rfam family "tRNA". Rfam says of the family: Transfer RNA (tRNA) molecules are approximately 80 nucleotides in length. Their secondary structure includes four short double-helical elements and three loops (D, anti-codon, and T loops). RNAcentral also lists the same sequence under 1 other name. The record is from Rfam by way of RNAcentral. Lineage: Eukaryota; Metazoa; Chordata; Mammalia; Artiodactyla; Camelidae.
GAGGAUAUAGCUCAGUGGUAGAGUGUGGGCCUAUUAUGCACAAGGCCCUGAGUUCAAUUCCCAGUACCUCCA